UACGUAGGGUGCAAGCGUUGUCCGGAAUUAUUGGGCGUAAAGAGCUCGUAGGCGGUCUGUCGCGUCGGAUGUGAAAAUCCAGGGCUCAACCCUGGACCUGCAUUCGAUACGGGCAGACUAGAGUUCGGCAGGGGAGACUGGAAUUCCUGGUGUAGCGGUGAAAUGCGCAGAUAUCAGGAGGAACACCGGUGGCGAAGGCGGGUCUCUGGGCCGAUACUGACGCUGAGGAGCGAAAGCCAGGGGAGCAAACGGG
This 253-nucleotide ribosomal RNA is filed under the name uncultured bacterium. RNAcentral's name for it is "partial 16S ribosomal RNA". It matches the Rfam family "Bacterial small subunit ribosomal RNA", at positions 524 to 776 of the family's 1533-position model. The record is from RNAcentral.